UUUUAUUAUGCUGGGAGGGCAUAUCCGCCGAAUUUAAGCAUAUAAUUAAGCGGAAGAAAAGAAAAUAACAAUGAUUCCUUUAGUAACGGCGAGUGAACAAGGAAAAGCUCAAAAGGAAAAUCCGCUUUGUGGUUAAAACCGCAGUGUGGAAUUGUCUGGUUGGGAUUUAGUCCUUUCUAUGUUUUUGUUGGGUGCGAAAUUAGUAGGAAUACUAUUCCUUAGAGGGUGAAAGGCCCGUAGUUCCUAACAAUUAUAGAUGGACUGUUUCCUGUAGAGUCGUGUUCUUUGAGAUUGGAGCACAAAUGUGUGUGAUACAUUUCACAUAAAGCUAAAUAUUUGUAGGAGACCGAUAGCAAACAAGUACCGUGAGGGAAAGAUGAAAUAGUACUCAGGAAUGAGGUUUAAAUAGUACCUGAAAUCGUUAAGAUGGAACGGAUUGAGAGAGA
Molecule: ribosomal RNA, 446 nt
Filed under: Plasmodium berghei
Lineage: Eukaryota; Apicomplexa; Aconoidasida; Haemosporida; Plasmodiidae
Description: eukaryotic LSU rRNA
Rfam family: Eukaryotic large subunit ribosomal RNA
Source: RNAcentral